Molecule: ribosomal RNA, 212 nt
Filed under: uncultured bacterium
Lineage: Bacteria
Description: partial 16S ribosomal RNA
Rfam family: Bacterial small subunit ribosomal RNA
Source: RNAcentral
AAGUCUGAUGUGAAAGACCUUCGGCUUAACCGGAGAAGUGCAUCGGAAACUGGAUAACUUGAGUGCAGAAGAGGGUAGUGGGAACUCCCAUGUGUAGCGGUGGAAUGCGUAGAUAUAUGGAAGAACACCAGUGGCGAAGGCGGCUACCUGGUCUGCAACUGACGCUGAGACCCGAAAGCAUGGGUAGCGAACAGGAUUAGAUACCCUGGUAG